Molecule: long non-coding RNA, 1238 nt
Organism: Lactuca sativa (garden lettuce)
Lineage: Eukaryota; Viridiplantae; Streptophyta; Magnoliopsida; Asterales; Asteraceae
Source: RefSeq, a predicted model, not a curated record
UUAGAUUUAUAGGGUUUCUUUCGCGCCACGUAGCCUAUCUCCUAGCCUACCUCCUGAAAAACACAACGUAUCACAACGGACAUUUUCCUCCUUCCGUCUAAAGCGCAAACCGCGCGUGAAAGGGUCUUCAAGGAUUACACUAGCCCGCGUUCGCUAUGAAUCUACUGAGGUGGAUCCAUCUUUGCCAUUGCUCUUUUAAAGACGCUAUGUUCCUUACAGUGUAUAUGCUUCGUCGGAGUAAUUGAAUUCACAGAAACCUCCGCAACCGCGAUAAUAUAAGGUGUAUGAUGAAAUGCCUAGGAGAAGAUGUCAUGGAAGACAGCCUAAGUAUUGUCUUCACUUGAGGAGGAAAGUAUAUGCAAUGAAAUGCUCCACCAACACUUUCGUAGGCAAGAGUUUAUUGUAUUCCACAUGUGAUUACAUUCUUUCCAUUACAAACACAGACAUGACAGAAAGCAUUCUGCAAAAAUCAAUUAUCGUCUCUUUUGCUUUAGGGUCAUUAAAAUCAUGUUCUUGGGAAAAUUCAAACAACAGUUACGCUUAGUUGGUUUUUUUGGCUAUCAAUUGUCAUUUACAUAGGAUAUGAAACCCUCUGAUAAGGACCAAAAAUUCAAAUGGUUCCUUUUUGGACAUAAAUGAAACAGGACAGAGACUGACUAUGUAAUUUAGUCUUUUUUUUAAAAUUAUUAUGCAACUGUAAAACCAUGAUCUUUAUGAAUGAAUUUUGUUACCAUAUGUUAAAUCAUUUCCUGUGCUAGGAAUGAUGUAGAUGUACUACCAAAUGGCUCAAAUGCUUCAACCUUAUUUAUAAAGAACAAUUGUAGGAUGUUCAAGAUUUAAAAAUAUAUCUAUUCUUUUCCUUUUUAUUUUAAUUUCUAUCUUCUUAUAAUCAUAUGGAGGAGAAUAUAGAUAUUGUUAUGAAUGAGCCGCCUGUUUCAAGUUAUACUCCAUAUGAAAAAUAAAAAAGAACAACCAAGCAAACUGACAUACGGUUGGCAUCAAAUAUACAAAAGACCAGCAGAUGAUGCGGACGAUUGUGAACUUGACGAAUUCAGAACACCUUAAACACUGGUGCAGAAGUAUCCCCAGCAAAUCAAGAUUAUUUUUAUGAGAUACGUAGAGCUAAUUUUGUUUUGUUUUCUCAAAGUGAAUAUUUAUUUUUGGUGCAAAUGCAAAGUUUCUGUCUAUCUCCUUAAGAAUUUGAAAUGAAAGGAUAAAUGUCAUAAAUCAAAACUUUA